UACACUCCUGCGGGAGGCAGCAGUGGGGAAUUUUGGCCAAUGGGCGAAAGCCUGAUCCAGCCAUGCCGCGUGCAGGAUGAAGGCCUUCGGGUUGUAAACUGCUUUUGUACGGAACGAAACGGCCUUUUCUAAUAAAGAGGGCUAAUGACGGUACCGUAAGAAUAAGCACCGGCUAACUACGUGCCAGCAGCCGCGGUAAUACGUAGGGUGCAAGCGUUAAUCGGAAUUACUGGGCGUAAAGCGUGCGCAGGCGGUUAUGUAAGACAGUUGUGAAAUCCCCGGGCUCAACCUGGGAACUGCAUCUGUGACUGCAUAGCUAGAGUACGGUAGAGGGGGAUGGAAUUCCGCGUGUAGCAGUGAAAUGCGUAGAUAUGCGGAGGAACACCGAUGGCGAAGGCAAUCCCCUGGACCUGUACUGACGCUCAUGCACGAAAGCGUGGGGAGCAAACAGGAUUAGAUACCCGAGUAGUCC
This 472-nucleotide ribosomal RNA is filed under the name uncultured organism. Its description in RNAcentral is "partial 16S ribosomal RNA". It matches the Rfam family "Bacterial small subunit ribosomal RNA", at positions 332 to 796 of the family's 1533-position model. The record is from RNAcentral.